This 468-nucleotide ribosomal RNA is filed under the name uncultured bacterium. RNAcentral describes it as "partial 16S ribosomal RNA". It matches the Rfam family "Bacterial small subunit ribosomal RNA", at positions 28 to 507 of the family's 1533-position model. The record is from RNAcentral.
GACGAACGCUGGCGGCGUGCUUAACACAUGCAAGUCGAACGGAAAGGCCCUGCUUUUGUGGGGUGCUCGAGUGGCGAACGGGUGAGUAACACGUGAGUAACCUGCCCUUGACUUUGGGAUAACUUCAGGAAACUGGGGCUAAUACCGGAUAGGAGCUCCUGCUGCAUGGUGGGGGUUGGAAAGUUUCGGCGGUUGGGGAUGGACUCGCGGCUUAUCAGCUUGUUGGUGGGGUAGUGGCUUACCAAGGCUUUGACGGGUAGCCGGCCUGAGAGGGUGACCGGCCACAUUGGGACUGCGAUACGGCCCAGACUCCUACGGGAGGCAGCAGUGGGGAAUAUUGCACAAUGGGCGGAAGCCUGAUGCAGCAACGCCGCGUGCGGGAUGACGGCCUUCGGGUUGUAAACCGCUUUCGCCUGCGACGAAGCGUGAGUGACGGUAAUGGGUAAAGAAGCACCGGCUAACUACGUG